CUAAAACCUUACCCCUUCAUACAGGAAGAAAAGCUGGUCAGCCUUACUCUUGAAUUCCUUCCAUCUGUCUGGCUUCCUCACUCUCUUUCUAUUUAAAAAAAUCCUUAAGCAUGGAGGGAAGCCCCGGCUUCACUACUUCAAUGGAAGAGGCAGGAUGGAAUCCAUCCGAUGGCUCUUGGCUGCAGCUAGAGUAGAGGUGGAACCCUGAUGUAUGGACAACACUUGCCCAUGGUCGAAACUCAUGGAAUGAAUUUGGUAGAAACCAGAGCCAUCCUAAGAUAGAUAGCUGCAAAGUAUGACUUGUAUGGAGGGAACCUGAAGGAGCAAGCCUGGAUUGAUAUGUAUGUAGAAGGCUUGAAGGACCUGAGUGACAUAAUUAUGUUCUUGCCACUGUCUCUGCCUGAAGAGGAGAUGAAUCUUGCAUACAUCCUUGAAAAAGCCACUACAAGAUUCUUCCCUGUCUGUGAGAAGGCACUGAGAGACCACUGACAAGAUUUUCUUAUGUGCAAUCGGCUGAGCCGGGCUGAUACACAGCAACCUGAAGUUAUCUUAAUGACUGAAGAGUGCAAACCCAGUGUCCUCUUGGGCUUUCCUCUGCUACAGUGUCAAGAGCAAAACAUUACCCCAUACCUAGCUUCAUUACUGGAAGAUGGACUCCUGAUUCAGCAAUACUCAUUAACAGAAAUUCAAGGCCAGAAGCAGCCACAUCCCCACAAUUAAUAAAUUUCUCCAACCUGGAAGCCAAAGGAAGUCUCCACCGGAUGAAGAAUCCAUUGAGACUGUGAAG
Molecule: long non-coding RNA, 787 nt
Organism: Chlorocebus sabaeus (green monkey)
Lineage: Eukaryota; Metazoa; Chordata; Mammalia; Primates; Cercopithecidae
Source: RefSeq, a predicted model, not a curated record